CUAGUAACUGCGAGUGAAGCGGGAAAAGCUCAAAUUUAAAAUCUGGUGGUCUUUGGCCAUCCGAGUUGUAAUUUAGAGAAGCGUCUUCCGCGCUGGACCAUGCACAAGUCUCCUGGAAUGGAGCGUCAUAGAGGGUGAGAAUCCCGUCUUUGGCAUGGACCCCAGGGCUUCUGUGAUGCGCUCUCAAAGAGUCGAGUUGUUUGGGAAUGCAGCUCAAAAUGGGUGGUGAACUCCAUCUAAAGCUAAAUAUUGGCGAGAGACCGAUAGCGAACAAGUACCGUGAGGGAAAGAUGAAAAGCACUUUGGAAAGAGAGUGAAACAGUACGUGAAAUUGUUGAAAGGGAAACGCUUGAAGUCAGUCGCGUCGACCGAGACUCAGCCUUGCCUUGGCUUGGUGUACUUCUCGGCUGACGGGUCAGCAUCAAUUUUGAUCCUUGGAUAAUGGCAAGGGAAAGGUAGCACCUUUACAGGUGUGUUAUAGUCCUCUGUCGCAUGCAAGGGUUGGGAUUGAGGAACUCAGCAUGCACCUCAUCGGUGUCGGGGCCUCGGCCUACGUUACGUGCUUAGGAUGCUGGCAUAAUGGCUUUAAACGACCCGUCUUGAAACACGGACCAAGGAGUCUAACAUGCACGCGAGUGUUCGGGUGGAAAACCCGUGCGCGUAAUGAAAGUAAAAGUUGGGACCUCUGUCGUGGAGGGCACCGACGCCCGGACCAGACCUUCUGUGACGGCUCUGCGGUAGAGCGUGUAUGUUGGGACCCGAAAGAUGGUGAACUAUGC
Molecule: ribosomal RNA, 779 nt
Filed under: Russula sp.
Lineage: Eukaryota; Fungi; Basidiomycota; Agaricomycetes; Russulales; Russulaceae
Description: partial large subunit ribosomal RNA
Rfam family: Eukaryotic large subunit ribosomal RNA
Source: RNAcentral